Molecule: ribosomal RNA, 301 nt
Filed under: uncultured bacterium
Lineage: Bacteria
Description: partial 16S ribosomal RNA
Rfam family: Bacterial small subunit ribosomal RNA
Source: RNAcentral
CAGCCGCCGCGGGAAAACAGAGGGUGCAAGCGUUAAUCGGAAUUACUGGGCGUAAAGCGCGCGUAGGUGGUUUGUUAAGUUGGAUGUGAAAGCCCCGGGCUCAACCUGGGAACUGCAUCCAAAACUGGCAAGCUAGAGUACGGUAGAGGGUGGUGGAAUUUCCUGUGUAGCGGUGAAAUGCGUAGAUAUAGGAAGGAACACCAGUGGCGAAGGCGACCACCUGGACUGAUACUGACACUGAGGUGCGAAAGCGUGGGGAGCAAACAGGAUUAGAUACCCGGGUAGUCCCUGUCUCUUAUAC